GAUGAACGCUGGCGGCGUGCCUAAUACAUGCAAGUCGAGCGAAUGGAUUAAGAGCUUGCUCUUAUGAAGUUAGCGGCGGACGGGUGAGUAACACGUGGGUAACCUGCCCAUAAGACUGGGAUAACUCCGGGAAACCGGGGCUAAUACCGGAUAACAUUUUGAACCGCAUGGUUCGAAAUUGAAAGGCGGCUUCGGCUGUCACUUAUGGAUGGACCCGCGUCGCAUUAGCUAGUUGGUGAGGUAACGGCGCACCAAGGCAACGAUGCGUAGCCGACCUGGGAGGGUGAUGGGCCACACUGGGACUGAGACACGGCCCAGACUCCUACGGGAGGCAGCAGUAGGGAAUCUUCCGCAAUGGACGAAAGUCUGACGGAGCAACGCCGCGUGAGUGAUGAAGGCUUUCGGGUCGUAAAACUCUGUUGUUAGGGAAGAACAAGUGCUAGUUGAAUAAGCUGGCACCUUGACGGUACCUAACCAGAAAGCCACGGCUAACUACGUGCCAGCAGCCGCCGCAG
This 515-nucleotide ribosomal RNA is filed under the name uncultured bacterium. Its description in RNAcentral is "partial 16S ribosomal RNA". It matches the Rfam family "Bacterial small subunit ribosomal RNA", at positions 28 to 523 of the family's 1533-position model. The record is from RNAcentral.